RNAcentral lists this transfer RNA (72 nucleotides) under Phrynosoma platyrhinos (Desert horned lizard). RNAcentral describes it as "tRNA-OTHER". The record is from RNAcentral. Lineage: Eukaryota; Metazoa; Chordata; Lepidosauria; Squamata; Phrynosomatidae.
UCCAGUGUGAUGUAGUGGUUUGAGCGUUGGACUAUGACUCCGGAGACCUGGGUUCGAAUCCCGGCUUGGCCA